GGAAGGGCCAUCGCUCAACGGAUAAAAGCUACCCUGGGGAUAACAGGCUUAUCUCCCCCAAGAGUCCACAUCGACGGGGAGGUUUGGCACCGCGAUGUCGGCUCAUCACAUCCUGGGGCUGUAGUAGGUCCCAAGGGUUGGGCUGUUCGCCCAUUACAGUGGUACGCGAGCUGGGUUCAGAACGUCGUGCGACAGUUCGGUCCCUAUCCGUCGCAGGCGUAGGAAAUUUGAGAAGACCUGUCCUUAGUACGAGAGGACCGGGAUGGACGUACCUCUGGGGUACCAG
This 286-nucleotide ribosomal RNA is filed under the name Clostridioides difficile. RNAcentral's name for it is "partial 23S ribosomal RNA". It matches the Rfam family "Bacterial large subunit ribosomal RNA", at positions 2435 to 2720 of the family's 2925-position model. The record is from RNAcentral. Lineage: Bacteria; Bacillati; Bacillota; Clostridia; Peptostreptococcales; Peptostreptococcaceae.